GACUUCUGGUUUAAUGCACCUGGCCCGCGGCUCUUUAGGCUUGUGAGUGCCGGCGGCGCGUUUACCAUCCUUCUGGGAACGGGUCUACCCUUAACUGGGGAUCCAGAUCAUUUACUUUGAAAAAAUUAGAGUGUUUAAAGCAGGCUAUUGCUAUGAUACAUUAGCAUACUAGGACUUCGGUUCUAUUUUGUUGGUUUCUAUAACUGAAGUAAUGAUUGAUAGGGAUAGUUGAAUUCUUGGAUUCGGUCAAGACUAACUUAUGCGAAAGCAUU
Molecule: ribosomal RNA, 272 nt
Filed under: uncultured Imbricatea
Lineage: Eukaryota; Cercozoa; Imbricatea
Description: partial 18S ribosomal RNA
Rfam family: Eukaryotic small subunit ribosomal RNA (bases 95-272)
Source: RNAcentral